UAUUAUUAACGAUAGCUACGUACGUGUAUUAUUAAUGGCCAGUAAGCCCUUAAACUAUUAGAUGUGCUUCAGCUUAUGUUGUCUUGAGUAUCUGGCAGCCCAGAAAUAAAACUCGUUGUGGACGGUGUGCAAAAAUAUAAAGCCAGGCAGGAACCGUUGUAUUGUAAUACUUGUUUUGUAUGAUCCGGCUGGAAAGGGUUGAACACAUUUCACAUGAGUAUAAUUGCAUAACGCUAGACUACGAACAGGAUCCUUGUGAUGGAGGCUAGUUAUGUCUGGGACAAGUAUUUGGAACUAAGUUUUGUUUGUUUUAACUCAGAGCUUAGCUCUGGACUUCUUUGGUCUCAGUGGGGUUAGUAAACCAAGUGCUUCCUGUAUCACUGAUCAUCUUGACCCUGAUGUGUUUCUGACCUGUCUGGAUACAACCACAACACACUGAUACAAGUGAAUGGAGGAAUUUAUUCAAUGUUGAAUUAGUCUUCGUCCUUGAAACAGGUUCACCCCCGGGUCAAGUCUGUUCCAGGGAUGGAGCUCUCCUUCUACGCAA
Molecule: long non-coding RNA, 547 nt
Organism: Hypomesus transpacificus
Lineage: Eukaryota; Metazoa; Chordata; Actinopteri; Osmeriformes; Osmeridae
Exons: 2
Source: RefSeq, a predicted model, not a curated record